UUUCUUUAGUUUUUGUAAACCAAGAAGAAGUGGAAGAAGCGUACAGUCGUACGGUAAAGAAAGAGUGUAAAUACUUUUGAAUUAUUGUGGUUUGCUUUGCUGUUUUCGUUUCAUAUAUUUGAAUAGUGGGACUUAUGUAUUAGUUUUCAGUUAGACGAUGCGUAUUUAAUGACUACAAUGACUGAAGCUGUUUAUGAGAGCAGUGCUGUUCCUUAUGCUUCGACGUUUCAGUAUGCUGAAUACAAUUUUAAAAACACAGCUUUAGAACUAGCCAGAGCCCAGUGGCCAAACUAUGAUGAUCAACAUUACCUUAGGAGUUGCAAGUGGUCCCCUGAUGGUACUUGUUUACUCACAAUAGUUAGGGGAGCUGGUAUGCAUGUUAUGGAGUUGCCCAAUGAUUUAUAUACUGGGGAAUCAGUUGGGAGUUGUAGGCCUAUUGUUCCUUUAAUUCCAGCAGUUAGUGUUCCCGAAGCAGGUCUUAUAUAUGAUUAUUGUUGGUAUCCUGGUAUGAAUAGUAGUAACCCAGCUACAUGUUGUUGGUUAUCUAGUGGUCAUAGUGGGCCAAUACAUCUUUGGGAUGCAUUUUCCGGAGAACUGAGAUGUACCUAUAGAGGUUACAACAAUCAAGAUGAGGUAGAACCAGCCAUUAGUGUCACAUUUUCUGCAGAUGGGCAGAAUAUAUUUUGUGGAUAUAAGAAAAAUGUUAAAAUUUUUGACACAGGUAGACCUGGUAGGGAUUUCGUUGAAUAUCCAGUAUCGCACCAAGCUUCUUGUCUAGUAGCAAGUCCAGCACAACCCGGAGUAGUAGCCAUAGGUACAUGGAAAAAUACAAUUGACUUGGUAUCUCAAAGCGAUGGCACAUUCCGCCAUCUCUGCAAAUUAAACGGUCACAAAGGAGGCAUCACCACAAUGGCUUUCUCCUUAGAUGGUUUCCGUUUGUACAGUGGAGCUCGAAAGGACAAAGAAAUAAUUUGCUGGGAUCUACGUGUACCCGGCAGACCUAUGUUCUGUUUAACACGAGAAGUUAAUACCAAUCAGAAGAUCAAUAUUGACUUGAGUGUUGAUGGUAAAUGGUUGGUAUCUGGUGGGACAGAUGGUAAGGUCCAAGUGUGGAAUGUCAGUGAAGAAACAUAUCCUACAGUUCAUAUGCAAGAUAUCUUGUAUGACCGUUUCGUUACCGAGGAGUUAGAGCCAGGAUAAGUCUUUUUCUUAAUUGCUACCUAAACAAUAAAACACUUUUAUCUUUAAUCUAAGUAGGCCAGGGGAACAGUGACAUUUUUCCUCAAAUCAACGAUUGAUGGGAUUGCACAAUGACUGUUGCAAUGGAGUGAGUCUUCAUCCAUAUAGACCAAUUUUGGCUACAGCUUCCGGACAACAUCACUCUCAGGAUCCGCUGCAUCACAGCAGAAGCACUUCGCAGUACGAGAAUGCG
Diabrotica virgifera virgifera (western corn rootworm) is the source of this 1432-nucleotide RNA transcript. It is a transcript of the gene named telomerase Cajal body protein 1 homolog, with no coding region annotated. Lineage: Eukaryota; Metazoa; Arthropoda; Insecta; Coleoptera; Chrysomelidae. The transcript is spliced from 7 exons. The record is from RefSeq and is a predicted model, not a curated record.